This 460-nucleotide ribosomal RNA is filed under the name uncultured bacterium. Its description in RNAcentral is "partial 16S ribosomal RNA". It matches the Rfam family "Bacterial small subunit ribosomal RNA", at positions 338 to 795 of the family's 1533-position model. The record is from RNAcentral.
GCUACGGGUGGCUGCAGUGAGGAAUAUUGGUCAAUGGGCGUAAGCCUGAACCAGCCAAGUCGCGUGAGGGAUGAAGGUUCUAUGGAUCGUAAACCUCUUUUAUAAGGGAAUAAAGUGUGGGACGUGUCCUAUUAUGUAUGUACCUUAUGAAUAAGGAUCGGCUAACUCCGUGCCAGCAGCCGCGGUAAUACGGAGGAUCCGAGCGUUAUCCGGAUUUAUUGGGUUUAAAGGGUGCGUAGGGGGGCUUUUAAGUCAGCGGUGAAAGUCCGGGGCUCAACCCCGGAAUUGCCGUUGAAACUGGCAGGCUUGAGUUUGAGAGAGGCAUGCGGAAUGCGCGGUGUAGCGGGGAAAUGCAUAGAUAUCGCGCAGAACCCCGAUUGCGAAGGCAGCCUGCCGGGCCCACACUGACGCUGAGGCACGAAAGCGUGGGUAUCGAACAGGAUUAGAUACCCCAGUAGUC